RNAcentral lists this ribosomal RNA (488 nucleotides) under uncultured bacterium. Its description in RNAcentral is "bacterial SSU rRNA". It matches the Rfam family "Bacterial small subunit ribosomal RNA", at positions 20 to 507 of the family's 1533-position model. The record is from RNAcentral.
UGGCUCAGGAUGAACGCUAGCGGCAGGCUUAACACAUGCAAGUCGAGGGGUAUCACGCUUUCGGGCGUGAGAGACCGGCGCACGGGUGCGUAACGCGUAUACAAUCUACCUUUUACAGAGGGAUAGCCCAGAGAAAUUUGGAUUAGUACCUCAUAGUAUUUUCGAAUGGCAUCAUUUGAUUAUUAAAGUUCCAACGGUAAAAGAUGAGUAUGCGUCCCAUUAGCUAGAUGGUAAGGUAACGGCUUACCAUGGCAACGAUGGGUAGGGGUCCUGAGAGGGAGAUCCCCCACACUGGUACUGAGACACGGACCAGACUCCUACGGGAGGCAGCAGUGAGGAAUAUUGGACAAUGGGCGCAAGCCUGAUCCAGCCAUGCCGCGUGCAGGAAGACGGUCCUAUGGAUUGUAAACUGCUUUUAUACAGGAAGAAACACCUCUACGUGUAGAGACUUGACGGUACUGUAUGAAUAAGCAUCGGCUAACUCCGUG